RNAcentral lists this ribosomal RNA (465 nucleotides) under uncultured bacterium. Its description in RNAcentral is "partial 16S ribosomal RNA". It matches the Rfam family "Bacterial small subunit ribosomal RNA", at positions 28 to 507 of the family's 1533-position model. The record is from RNAcentral.
GACGAACGCUGGCGGCGUGCUUAACACAUGCAAGUCGAACGGAAAGGCCCUGCUUGCAGGGUACUCGAGUGGCGAACGGGUGAGUAACACGUGGGUGAUCUGCCCUGCACUUCGGGAUAAGCCUUGGAAACUGGGUCUAAUACCGGAUAGGAGCCAUUUUUAGUGUGAUGGUUGGAAAGUUUUUUCGGUGUAGGAUGAGCUCGCGGCCUAUCAGCUUGUUGGUGGGGUAAUGGCCUACCAAGGCGGCGACGGGUAGCCGGCCUGAGAGGGUGGACGGCCACAUUGGGACUGAGAUACGGCCCAGACUCCUACGGGAGGAAGCAGUGGGGAAUAUUGCACAAUGGGCGCAAGCCUGAUGCAGCGACGCCGCGUGGGGGAUGACGGCCUUCGGGUUGUAAAAUCCGUUCGCUAGGGACGAAGCUUUUUGUGACGGUACCUAGAUAAGAAGCACCGGCUAACUACGUG